AACACUGUGGGCAACCUGCCUGUAAGACUGGGAUAACUUCGGGAAACCGAAGCUAAUACCGGAUAGGAUCUUCUCCUUCAUGGGAGAUGAUUGAAAGAUGGUUUCGGCUAUCACUUACAGAUGGGCCCGCGGUGCAUUAGCUAGUUGGUGAGGUAACGGCUCACCAAGGCAACGAUGCAUAGCCGACCUGAGAGGGUGAUCGGCCACACUGGGACUGAGACACGGCCCAGACUCCUACGGGAGGCAGCAGUAGGGAAUCUUCCGCAAUGGACGAAAGUCUGACGGAGCAACGCCGCGUGAGUGAUGAAGGCUUUCGGGUCGUAAAACUCUGUUGUUAGGGAAGAACAAGUACGAGAGUAACUGCUCGUACCUUGACGGUACCUAACCAGAAAGCCACGGCUAACUACGUGCCAGCAGCCGCGGUAAUACGUAGGUGGCAAGCGUUAUCCGGAAUUAUUGGGCGUAAAGCGCGCGCAGGCGGUUUCUUAAGUCUGAUGUGAAAGCCCACGGCUCAACCGUGGAGGGUCAUUGGAAACUGGGGAACUUGAGUGCAGAAGAGAAAAGCGGAAUUCCACGUGUAGCGGUGAAAUGCGUAGAGAUGUGGAGGAACACCAGUGGCGAAGGCGGCUUUUUGGUCUGUAACUGACGCUGAGGCGCGAAAGCGUG
Molecule: ribosomal RNA, 666 nt
Filed under: Priestia megaterium
Lineage: Bacteria; Bacillati; Bacillota; Bacilli; Caryophanales; Bacillaceae
Description: bacterial SSU rRNA
Rfam family: Bacterial small subunit ribosomal RNA
Source: RNAcentral